Molecule: ribosomal RNA, 400 nt
Filed under: uncultured bacterium
Lineage: Bacteria
Description: bacterial SSU rRNA
Rfam family: Bacterial small subunit ribosomal RNA
Source: RNAcentral
AACGAACGCUGGCGGCAGGCUUAACACAUGCAAGUCGAGCGCGUAGCAAUACGAGCGGCAGACGGGUGAGUAACGCGUGGGAAUCUACCCAACCCUACGGAAUAACGCAUGGAAACCGUGUGCUAAUACCGUAUACGCCCUUAGGGGGAAAGAUUUAUCGCCCUGAGAUAAGCCCGCGUAGGAUUAGCUAGUUGGUGAGGUAAAGGCUCACCAAGGCGACGAUCCUUAGCUGGUCUGAGAGGAUGAUCAGCCACACUGGGACUGAGACACGGCCCAGACUCCUACGGGAGGCAGCAGUGGGGAAUAUUGGACAAUGGGCGAAAGCCUGAUCCAGCAAUGCCGCGUGAGUGAUGAAGGCCUUAGGGUUGUAAAGCUCUUUACCCGAGAUGAUAAUGACAGU